CAUGGUAAGUGUACCGGAAGGUGCACUUGGAAA
Molecule: ribosomal RNA, 33 nt
Filed under: Duellmanohyla salvavida
Lineage: Eukaryota; Metazoa; Chordata; Amphibia; Anura; Hylidae
Description: partial 12S ribosomal RNA
Source: RNAcentral